AGAAUGAGGAGUAAGUAAUCCAUCUUAACUUCAGUUGUCUCCAUGCGGCAUGCAGUCCUGUAAUAACAUUUUACGAACAGGAUUGAACUCUAAGUUCUCCAUCUUUGAUAUAAAUCCAGUGACUACAGUUCCAAACAAUACCAAACCAACAAGUGAUUUUGAGAUUCAUUUUCCUAAAUGUAGAGCACUAAUGAGAACAGCCAGAAUUCUUCCAAUCCACGGGGUUCCAUAGAUGAAUCCUGAAUAC
Long non-coding RNA from Eurytemora carolleeae, 247 nucleotides. RefSeq lists it as uncharacterized. The transcript has 3 exons. NCBI's taxonomy places the organism in Eukaryota, Metazoa, Arthropoda, Copepoda, Calanoida, Temoridae. The record is from RefSeq and is a predicted model, not a curated record.